This is a long non-coding RNA of Sapajus apella (tufted capuchin), 1579 nucleotides long. RefSeq lists it as uncharacterized. NCBI's taxonomy places the organism in Eukaryota, Metazoa, Chordata, Mammalia, Primates, Cebidae. The record is from RefSeq and is a predicted model, not a curated record. The transcript has 4 exons.
GAAGGACAGAGGGAAGAAAAAGAGAGAAAAAGAAGAGAAAAUAGGGUUGAAAACUGUGUCUUUUGCUCCUUCAUUCUUGAGGAUUAUUUCCAGAAGAAGAAUUGUAAUAUUCAUUGGCCUCCCCAGGAGUGUGCAUGCAUGGGAAUGUGUGUGAAUGUUUGUGUGCAGCCCCGGGUGGGAAACAGUGCUGUGUAAACAGUGUCGAUGUAUCCCACCAGCUAACAUUCAAAGUUUUCUUUGUUAAUGAUACUCUGAAGGAGAAUAAAAGAUGGAACUUGAUGCUAUGCCAUACAAACAAAAAUAAAUCAUUUCUAAGCCAGUAGGAAAACGUAAAUUAUGAAUUUGGUUUGGAUUUCAUUUGAGUUUGCAGAAUUAUUAGGCCAUGACACCAUACUGUUUGAAGGGAAUGUUUUGUCUUUUCAUUCUAGCCAGUAGCAAAUUAUCCCAAAGGAGAUAAACAUCUAAAAGAAGGGAACUAAAACAGAUAAGGAAGUUAUUGCUCAGGAAAGUAACAGACUUAUUCAAGGCCACCCGGAAAAAAGCAGCCACAGGGAAGGUACCUGUAUCCCUGAAGAGAUUGAAGCAAAUAAAUCAUUUACCAUUUAGAAGAAAGGAAGGGUGAGCAAGGAAGACUGAUGAGAACUGGAGUGGGAGGAAUUCCCUUCCCUAAGCAAACAUAAAGCUCUGUGCUCUGGAAAUGUCUUUUCCCCCUGAGAGUCUGCUUUUGUUAUGAGAAGGCUCUGGGCAUAUUUCAGAAUGAUGACUCUUCCUUCUUUCUGUGAAAGCCAUUAGAGAAUCUUUCUCUUUAUAAUGAGAACCUAAUAGAAUUCUUGGAGAUAAAAAUCAUAAAAUAUGGGGAACCCCCUGAGCCUGCAGCCCUUUGGUGUUUCUCACUCUCGUGGUAGUUCACAUUCAGCCUCCAGCAAUUUGUCAAAAUUAUUACUCAAGUGUACCUACCAGUAUAUGACUUGGUUGUAUCUGUUCCAGGUAAACAGAUCUCAGCUGUGUUUUUCUGCAUGUACCUGUUGCCCAGAUUUUGAGGUGAUCCCCGUUUGCCCUGCUAUCUCAGUUCUCCAGUCAUCACAGGUCAUUUAUUUUCAGCUUAUUUUUUGUAAUAAUGUGAACGACAACAUCCAGUCUGUCUGUGUGUCAGAGGUGGAGCUGGAAGUCUACAGAUUCAGGGUAGCUUUAUUCAUAAUCUUCGAACAUGGAAAGAGCCCAAAUGUCCAUUCACAUUUGAACAGAUAAACAAGUCUUGGUAAUUCCAUCUAAUGGAAUAUUACCCAGCAAUGAAACAUCCAACAACAUUUUUAUAAAUAAAAGGAAUCAGACACAAAAAAUUAUAUGGUGUUUGAUUUUAUUUGUAUAUAAUUCCAGAACAGGCAAAAAUAAUUUAUUGUGAUAGAAAGCAGAUCAGUGGAUAUCUGGGGCAAAGAAUAGUAGAACUGAUUGCAAAUGUGCAAUAGGGAACUUCUUGAAGCAAUGAAAAAUCUUGAUUGUGGUAAAGUUUAUAUGUAUAUAGAUAUUUGUUAAAAAUUUCAAACUGCACACAUACAAUUGGUACACUUUAUGUUACAUA